AUGACUUAUAAUUUGGAACGGAGGGAGUACAUUUUUAGGAUGGGGCCCAUAGUUUCAACCCUUUUCAUGAAUGUAAAUGUGUAGUGAUGAUAUUUGAGAUAUGUCUGGAUCUAGUACAGAUGUGCAGUGAUGAUAUUUGAGAUGCUUAUCCAUCCUCUUUUUUUUUCCAGUGCCUCCAAAUGGUUUAGCUGCCACUCCACAGCCCUCGUAAUCAGGUAUGAAUAAUUUUUACUGGCCACUCCAAACAAAAAAAAAAUAGAAAAGUUCAGAGUUUUUCAGUUUCAGUGCAGUUCAGUUAUUCCAGAGUAGCAGCCUUGCAUCUUUUUGUGUUUUGUCACCUAAUAGUGAAUAUUUUAGUCAAGCAAUCCUUCACAGAUAUUUGAAGGAUUCAUUUCCUAUUGUUAAUUUUCUACUGUUUGGUUUGUACUGCCUAGUGCCUUGCCUACUUGUUGAUUAGGUUGACAACUUACUGAUGAUAGGUUUCUGAGUGUUGUACACAUGUACUGCAAAACAAAUAUGCUUUUGUUUGCUAAUCUACCACACAUUUGACAUGUCCUUCAGUUUGCUAAUGACUUCUCAUUUGUUUCAGGUGAUGCAGGGGUAAAAAGUUCAAGCAGAGAGAUAUGCUGGUGCUGGAGUUGUCUCCAAAUUUAUCUUAUUGUCAAAUACUUGGUUGUCUUUUGCUUGGAGAUAUGCUGGUACUUGGAAUUAUUCGUAGAUAAUAGACUAUAAAUUAUACCUUUGUAGCAAUCUUAGCUAUUGGAGUUAGACAUGUCAGAGUGUUGAUAUCAAGAAUCAAAGAGAUUAAUGUUGAUUUGUCAUGAGAGAACUAGCUAAGACCUUGCAGAGCUCUAGUUUCAGUUACUUGAAAUGUUUUAAUUUAUUCAUGCAUAGUUUCUGGAAUAUUGUUUGAACGCAACAUAGUUUAUGAGAUGACCCAAUGUGUCAUUUAAGGUCAUGUAUGUACUGCCAUUUACUCAAGUGUGUGUAUUGUUUUAGUUCAAUGAUUAUGUUUGGUCAUGUGUAUGCAUGUUAAUUUCUCUAUUUUCUAUGUGAAAUUGUGCUCGUGUUUUCGUUUUUUUUCAAUUUCAAAGCAGGGUUUUUAGAAUUACAGAUGGACAUAUAUGUUGGAUUUUCUUUUCUGAUAUUUUCUUUCUUUUAUUAUUUUUAUUUAUUUUUCUCGAUCUUUUAUAUACCGAUUUUUACUCAACUCUUUUGUUAAGUAUUUUAUUUUUCUAGUAGUGUUUGAACUCAAUAAGCUUAAGUUUGAAUUUUUUUUUAUUUUUUUUAAAUUUCUCACAUGCAUACGUUGUAUUGGGUGCUGCUGCCGUUGAAAGGAACCACUUGCCUCCCGCGAGCUCACACGUGGUUGUCAAAUCGCGCGUGUAUUGGGUGGAUGGUGUGGAUUCAUCCAAUACACGGGUGGGACUAUACACACUUGUAAAAUAUUCAUGGACAGCCAAACGAGGCCUUAGCAUUAUACUUAUAGUAAUCUUACUCUUAUAUACCACAUUUGCUUAUAUGACAUGUCAGAUUGGGUUGACACGCUAACGCAUAGUCAGUAUAGACACAUAAAAUGUUCUUUUUACCCUUGCCUUACUCAUCUCUCUCUCUCUCCCUAUGUGAACACUGGGUUGGGUUCACCUCUAUCACUCCUCAUGGUGUCUUUGCCCACCAGCUUCGCCAGCUCCGAAUCCCCUCGGAAGCGCAAGUAGAUAUACCUGUACGUGUUCAUGGCCAUGACGUGCGACGCCACCGUGUUCGCACACACCCGUCACGCCACCUCGACGUGCCGGUGCAUCGCCACGAGCACGCUCACCGCCGGUCGGCGUCCUCAUCGCAAUUGUCCAGAUCCGCACGCAGCGCGGUGUCCAUGAGCGCACAGUAGUCAUCGGACGCGAGGCACUUGAGGUAGUUCACGGCGUAUCACACGAUCUUGGGCACGUGCCCGGCGUCGCCGUCGCCACCGUCGGUGACGUAGAGCAUCUCGAUGCGUAGACUGAACUCGAAGAACACACCGGACACGACGCGCACCAGCGCGUGCUCCACCUUGUGUGCGCUCGCGGAUGGUGACCCGCGUGGCCGACUCGGUGAAGAUCUCGUCCAGACGCUCCCUCUCACGAACCACCGCGUCGAGCAUGUCGAGUAGCUUGAACAGCUCUGCAGCUUGCGCGCUUCAGCGGGCACACCGUCCGCAAAAAAGUGGAAGAACGCGCGCGACAUUUCGGGUGACAAUUGAAAGGUCCAUUAGAGGGGGGUGAAUAGCCAAUUUAAAUUUUCCACAAACUUCAACUAGACAAGUUGAUUAGUAAAACAAAAUACGAAACUAUUCUAGCACUAGCACAACUAAGCUAUGCAAGCCACCUACACAAGUCUAGCAAGAAAGCUAAACACUAGUUACAACAAGAAAGCACAACUAAAAGCUUGCUACACUCCUAAACAAGAUAGCUAAGCAAAACAAGCUACACAACUAGCAAGGUAUGCACAAGUAAAGGAGAGAGGAAUGAUUGUUAUACCAACGUUGUAGAGUAGAGAUAUAUCCAAUCAAUCACGUGCACAAUCGCAAGAGAGACCUCGGCAAGAGAUGACACAAGAUUUUUUACCGAGGUUCACUUGCUUACCGGCAAGUUACUCCUCGUUGUGGCGAUACACCCACUUGAUGGAUCACGAGCUAAUUGGCAAUCCAAAGCCGAACCCUCAGCGGGUGCCGCACAUCCACUCACAAGAUGGGGAUCCUCCAAGCCACGAGCAAUCCACUAAAGUAGCCAUUUGCGAUCUCCCGUGGGGAAGGCUCAAGAACCCCUCACAAAUCACAUGGUGAGGCUCGAAACAAUCUCCAAUCACGAGCUCGACACCACCGCUGUUCCAAGCCGUCUAGGGCGUCGAGAAACACCCAAGAGUAACAAAAAAAUCCGCAGCAAACUCAAGAAUCAAGUGCCACUAAAUGCAACUCUCAAAGCAAUGCACUUGAAUCUCACUCAAUCUCACUAGGAUUAGCAAUCAAGCAAGGAGAUGAGUGGAGGGAGUGUUCUCUAGCUCAAAGUAUGUCUCAAGGAAUCAAAUGUACAAGAGUAAGCCCCCCAAAGCCGGCCACCAACUAUUUAUAAGCCCCCUCAAAGAACUAGCAGUUGGCUACUUUCACUGGGCUG
RNAcentral lists this long non-coding RNA (3149 nucleotides) under Sorghum bicolor (sorghum). Its description in RNAcentral is "long non-coding RNA (SBIC_LNC005522)". The record is from RNAcentral. Lineage: Eukaryota; Viridiplantae; Streptophyta; Magnoliopsida; Poales; Poaceae.